This 71-nucleotide transfer RNA is filed under the name Marmota monax (woodchuck). Its description in RNAcentral is "tRNA.Ala". Lineage: Eukaryota; Metazoa; Chordata; Mammalia; Rodentia; Sciuridae. The record is from RNAcentral.
GAGGUUGUGGCUCAAUGGUAGAGCACUUACCUAGCACAUGUGAGGCACUGGGUUCAGUCCCCAGCACCACA